Molecule: ribosomal RNA, 459 nt
Filed under: uncultured bacterium
Lineage: Bacteria
Description: partial 16S ribosomal RNA
Rfam family: Bacterial small subunit ribosomal RNA
Source: RNAcentral
CCUACGGGGGGCAGCAGUGAGGAAUAUUGGUCAAUGGGCGGAAGCCUGAACCAGCCAAGUAGCGUGCAGGAUGACGGCCCUACGGGUUGUAAACCGCUUUUAUACGGGAAUAACGCGCCUACGUGUAGGGCUUUGCAUGUACCGUAUGAAUAAGGACCGGCUAAUUCCGUGCCAGCAGCGGCGGUAAUACGGAAGGUCCGGGCGUUAUCCGGGUUUAUUGGGGUUAAAGGGAGCGUAGGCCGCAUGUCAAGCGUGCUGUGAAAUGUCCGGGCUCAACCCGGGCCUUGCAGCGCGAACUGGCGUGCUUGAGUCCGCGGAAAGCAGGCGGAAUUCGUCGUGUAGCGGUGAAAUGCUUAGAUAUGACGAAGAACCCCGAUUGCGAAGGCAGCUUGCUGCAGCGGAACUGACGCUGAUGCUCGAAAGCGCGGGUAUCGAACAGGAUUAGAUACCCGAGUAGUC